AAAGUCGUAACAAGGUAACCGUAGGUGAACCUGCGGUUGGAUCAUUACUGAAUGAAUCUGGGAAUCCAGGGUUAAGCGCACCGUCAUGGUGGGCUUAUAUCCUGGUAUUAUCCAAUAUCCACCUUUUGUGAACUGUGUUGUCUCUGGCAGUCGCCUGUCGUUUUGAGGAGUAAAGUCCUCAAUCUGACGAGCCUGCCAACCACUUGUUUAAACAUUUUUCUAUUUUAUAUCUGUCUUACAUUUUAGUAUUUAAAUAUACAAACAACUUUUGGCAACGGAUCUCUUGGCUCUC
RNAcentral lists this unclassified non-coding RNA (292 nucleotides) under Chytridiomycota sp. RNAcentral describes it as "partial contains small subunit ribosomal RNA, internal transcribed spacer 1, and 5.8S ribosomal RNA". The stretch from base 1 to 47 matches the Rfam family "Eukaryotic small subunit ribosomal RNA", at positions 1785 to 1831 of the family's 1831-position model. The record is from RNAcentral. Lineage: Eukaryota; Fungi; Chytridiomycota.